Long non-coding RNA from Syngnathus acus (greater pipefish), 274 nucleotides. RefSeq lists it as uncharacterized. The transcript is spliced from 3 exons. The record is from RefSeq and is a predicted model, not a curated record. NCBI's taxonomy places the organism in Eukaryota, Metazoa, Chordata, Actinopteri, Syngnathiformes, Syngnathidae.
CGACACAUGACCCUAUAGGCGUGGUCUUUUCUCCGCCGAGUUUGAGGUUAGUUUGGGACGGAUGACCAUCGAUCAUUUUGAGAAGACAAGCCAGCGCAUGAGCUCUGAUCAGAGGAGUCGGAGUGCGUCAAAAGUUGUUUCGAGAUGGUUAAAGAUAUAAUCGUAUUUGCUGAUGUACAUGCACCCUUUGACGAUGACUUUAGUGGAGUUUAUCUAACACAAUCAGACUACGAUCUCGUGGCCGCGGCCACUAGAAAAAACGAACCGCCGACAC